AUACGUAGGGGGCAAGCGUUGUCCGGAAUUACUGGGCGUAAAGGGUGCGCAGGCGGCUUGGUUAGUCAGAAGUGAAAGUUUGCAGCUUAACUGUAAAAGUGCUUUUGAUACUGCCUGGCUUGAGUCUCGGAGGGGUAAGCGGAAUUCCUAGUGUAGCGGUAAAAUGCGUAGAGAUUAGGAAGAACACCGGCGGCGAAGGCGGCUUACUGGACGAGUACUGACGCUCAUGCACGAAAGCGUGGGGAGCAAACAGGAUUAGAUCCCCUGGUAGUCCACGCCGUAAACGAUGAAUACUAGGUGUCGGGGGGCAUCCGCCCCUCGGUGCCGCAGCUAACGCAAUAAGUAUUCCACCUGGGGAGUACGUUCGCAAGAAUGAAACUCAAAGGAAUUGACGGGG
This 397-nucleotide ribosomal RNA is filed under the name uncultured bacterium. RNAcentral's name for it is "partial 16S ribosomal RNA". It matches the Rfam family "Bacterial small subunit ribosomal RNA", at positions 523 to 918 of the family's 1533-position model. The record is from RNAcentral.